This 78-nucleotide transfer RNA is filed under the name Opitutia bacterium AMD-G1. RNAcentral describes it as "Opitutae bacterium AMD-G1 tRNA-Thr". It matches the Rfam family "tRNA". Rfam says of the family: Transfer RNA (tRNA) molecules are approximately 80 nucleotides in length. Their secondary structure includes four short double-helical elements and three loops (D, anti-codon, and T loops). Further hydrogen bonds mediate the characteristic L-shaped molecular structure. tRNAs have two regions of fundamental functional importance: the anti-codon, which is responsible for specific mRNA codon recognition, and the 3' end, to which the tRNAs corresponding amino acid is attached (by aminoacyl-tRNA synthetases). tRNAs cope with the degeneracy of the genetic code in two manners: having more than one tRNA (with a specific anti-codon) for a particular amino acid; and 'wobble' base-pairing, i.e. permitting non-standard base-pairing at the 3rd anti-codon position. Lineage: Bacteria; Pseudomonadati; Verrucomicrobiota; Opitutia. The record is from RNAcentral.
GCCCCUGUAGCUCAGUUGGCAGAGCGCGUCCUUGGUAAGGACGAGGUCGCUGGUUCAAUUCCAGUCGGGGGCCCACCA